AGAAAUGUACAAUUUUGAUUUAGGGAAAUCACCCAUUACGUGGGGUUAUACACUUUUUUUUUCUUUCUAUUUUUGGUUUUUCAUUUUUAUAUAUAUAUUUUUAUGUUAAAAUUAAUUAUUUCAAUUCAUCUUUAGUGUUUCUUCUCUCCUUCUCCUUUCCUCGCCAAACUUUCAAAGCCCCUUUCUCUGUUCUUCUCUUUGAUAACCACAUCCACUCCCCACCUACCCACUCCCAUCCCCUUCUCUCCAUCAUACUCAAACACUCAGUCAAAGCACAGAAGUCUGCCCAGCCGACCAUGCCCUCUUAGAUUCGACCCUUUGUCUCCUACAGAAGCUCCAAGCCUAAAAUGAAUGGGUUUGAAGUUCAUCAUUCCUCCCAAUAAUCGUUGUUCAUCAAAAAUUACUUGCUCGAUCAAACAUUCAUUCAUUAAAAGUUGGCACAAGCAACUUUUAGAGAAACAAAUUUUCGAUUUUGUUGAUUCGUGUUUUGGGCAGUUUCUGGCUAAACUUGAUUGUACAAUUCAAAACUAGCUUAUCCAUAAUAUGCUGCUUAGAGAGUUGCAACACUCCAACCCACUUUAGAUUUGGGUUGGCAUUGAUUUGAGCUCAAGUGAUAAGUUGAAUUAUGCAUAGUAUGAUAAUGGUAUUUUUUCAAUAUAUUUUAAAGUUAAAUCGAAGAUCACUAAUAAAUUGCUAAAGAAAUGUGGAUACGAGUGGGAGUGAGAGUAUCAUUGUCGUUAUUAGAUAGUUAGCAAAGCAUUACCCAAGAAGACAAAGGGAAAGGGUUUUUAAAAUUUGUUGUUGUUUACCAUAUUAUUGGCAAGACAAAGGCUUAUUGACUGUGCA
Molecule: long non-coding RNA, 846 nt
Organism: Humulus lupulus (European hop)
Lineage: Eukaryota; Viridiplantae; Streptophyta; Magnoliopsida; Rosales; Cannabaceae
Exons: 2
Source: RefSeq, a predicted model, not a curated record